ACGAGUUUUAAUUGUUAGGUUAGAGUUGAGCUGGUUAAUCUAAUUAAUAUGUGCUUACUCUAAUCGAAACAAGUCCACUCAUUACUUAACACUUGUGAGAUUAUUCAUUACAAACAUUAUUAUUUGUUAUUGGAACGUUUGAUUAUUAAAAAGUUAAUA
RNAcentral lists this unclassified non-coding RNA (159 nucleotides) under soil metagenome. Its description in RNAcentral is "partial internal transcribed spacer 1". The record is from RNAcentral.